AAGAGCGAGGCUCAUUAUGAAGAAGGAAGCAGUCAUUCAAGAGCAUGCUUCCCUGGAAAAUCAAUUGGUUUCUUUAUAGACAUAGAUAAACAGCCUCACUGCAGAAGUAGAUAACCUUACAAGCAAGGUUAGUUCCAUAAAGAAGGAAUAUGAUCAAGCCCAAUCUGAGCUCAAUUUGAGUUGUUCAAAGAUGAAAGAAUGUGACGCUGAGAUCAGUGCCAUUUUCAAGGAGCAACAGAAGCUUCAACAUAAAAUUAGUGAUGCAAAUGUUGAGAGGAAAAAAUUGGAAAAUGAGAUUAAGCGAAUGGAGAUGGAACAGAAAGAUUGCUCCCUGAAGGUAGAUAAACUACUAGAAAGGCAUAGUUGGAUUGCAGCUGAGAAAUAAUUAUUUGAAAAAAGUGGGACAGAUUAUGACUUCUCAUCUUGUGAUCCUCGUAAAUCAAGGGAGGAGCUUGAGAAACUUCAAGCUGAACAAUCUGGAAGGUUAUUGGACAUGCAUCUCAGUUAAUCUAAUUGAUUGCUUUCAGCCUUGAAAAGAGGGUCAACAAAAAAGUUAUGGCAAUAUUCGAGAAAGCUGAAGAUGAAUACAAUGACUUAUUAUCCAAGAAAAAUAUCAUUGAGAAUGACAAGUCAAAAAUCAAGAAGGUGAUUGAAGAGCUUGAUGAAAAGAAGAAGGAAACACUAAAAGUUUCUUGGGUUAAAGUGAACAAGCUGACAAGUUAAAGAAGUCAGUGGAGGAUGAAAUUCAUUUUCUCAAGGAAAGGGUUUCAGAACUUGAAAGUAAUCUUGUGUCGAAGUCCACAGAAGUUACAUCUGCAAUUUUAAGGAAAGAAGAAGCUCUAUCUUUUUCAUUUGCUGAAAUUGACUGUCUAAAGGAAGAAAAUUCUGUAAAAACAUGAGCAUUAUUAAAUGCAUAUGGAGGGUGUUUACUGUGUUGGAGUGUAUUUGUUUCUUGCACAUGAGGGCACGCCUUAGUUGUAAUUCUUAUGAUAGGUUGAGUAAAGUAAAGUAUUGUUUAUUUAGAAA
This is a long non-coding RNA of Magnolia sinica, 1026 nucleotides long. RefSeq lists it as uncharacterized. The record is from RefSeq and is a predicted model, not a curated record. Lineage: Eukaryota; Viridiplantae; Streptophyta; Magnoliopsida; Magnoliales; Magnoliaceae. The transcript is spliced from 6 exons.